This is a non-coding RNA of Acanthosepion pharaonis, 100 nucleotides long. Lineage: Eukaryota; Metazoa; Mollusca; Cephalopoda; Sepiida; Sepiidae. The record is from the annotation of a GenBank genome assembly.
UGUGUUGAAACGCUCAUUCCCAUACAAUUACCAAAGUUAAGUAGCAUUGAGCCUGGUCAGUACUGGAAUGGGUAACCACUUGAGAAUACUAAGUGGUGUA